ACGGCGUAGUAAUGCAUCGGAACGUACCCUCUGGUCGGGGAUAGCUACGGGAAACUGUAGGUAAUACCCGAUGAUCUCUGCGGAGCAAAGGUGAGACUCCGCCGGAGGAGCGGCUGAUGUGAUAUUAGCUAGUUGGUGGGGUAAUGGCCUACCAAGGCGAUGAUGUCUAGGGGGUGUGAGAGCAUGGCCCCCACGACCGGAACUGAGAUACUGUCCGGACACCUACGGGUGGCUGCAGUCGAGAAUCUUCCGCAAUGGACGAAAGUCUGACGGAGCGACGCCGCGUGCGGGAUGAAGGCCCUUGGGUUGUAAACCGCUGUCAGAGGGGAUGAAAUCUUCGGAGGUACUCCUUCGAAGUUGACAGAGCCUCAAAGGAAGCACGGGCUAAGUACGUGCCAGCAGCCGCGGUAACACGUACUGUGCGAACGUUAUUCGGAAUCACUGGGCUUAAAGGGUGCGUAGGCGGCGAAUCAAGUCAGGUGUGAAAGGCCUGAGCUCAACUGAGGCAUUGCGCUUGAAACUGAUUUGCUUGAGUAUCCCAGGGGUGUGCGGAACUGCCAGUGGAGCGGUGAAAUGUGUUGA
This 582-nucleotide ribosomal RNA is filed under the name uncultured bacterium. RNAcentral describes it as "bacterial SSU rRNA". It matches the Rfam family "Bacterial small subunit ribosomal RNA", at positions 102 to 694 of the family's 1533-position model. The record is from RNAcentral.